UACGUAGGGGGCAAGCGUUGUCCGGAAUGACUGGGCGUAAAGGGCGUGUAGGCGGCCUGAUAAGUAUGAAGUGAAAGUCCUGCUUUCAAGGUGGGAAUUGCUUUGUAGACUGUCGGGCUUGAGUGCGGAAGAGGUAAGUGGAAUUCCCAGUGUAGCGGUGAAAUGCGUAGAGAUUGGGAGGAACACCAGUGGCGAAGGCGACUUACUGGGCCGUAACUGACGCUGAGGCGCGAAAGCGUGGGGAGCGAACAGG
This 253-nucleotide ribosomal RNA is filed under the name Alkalibacter saccharofermentans. RNAcentral's name for it is "partial 16S ribosomal RNA". It matches the Rfam family "Bacterial small subunit ribosomal RNA", at positions 524 to 776 of the family's 1533-position model. The record is from RNAcentral. Lineage: Bacteria; Bacillati; Bacillota; Clostridia; Eubacteriales; Eubacteriaceae.